This 158-nucleotide ribosomal RNA is filed under the name Inosperma adaequatum. RNAcentral's name for it is "5.8S ribosomal RNA". It matches the Rfam family "5.8S ribosomal RNA". From Rfam's summary of the family: 5.8S ribosomal RNA (5.8S rRNA) is a component of the large subunit of the eukaryotic ribosome. It is transcribed by RNA polymerase I as part of the 45S precursor that also contains 18S and 28S rRNA. The record is from RNAcentral. Lineage: Eukaryota; Fungi; Basidiomycota; Agaricomycetes; Agaricales; Inocybaceae. RNAcentral also lists the same sequence under 2 other names.
CAACUUUCAGCAACGGAUCUCUUGGCUCUCGCAUCGAUGAAGAACGCAGCGAAAUGCGAUAAGUAAUGUGAAUUGCAGAAUUCAGUGAAUCAUCGAAUCUUUGAACGCAUCUUGCGCUCCUUGGUAUUCUGAGGAGCAUGCCUGUUUGAGGGUCAUUA